GGUUCCUUAGAUCGUACAUGCUACAUGGAUAACUGUAGUAAUUCUAGAGCUAAUACAUGCCACUAUGCCCUGACCCGCAAGGGAACGGGUGGAUUUAUUAGAACAGAACCAACCGGGAGCGACUUGUCGUUCCUGUUGCACUCUGUGAUGACUCUGGAUAACUUUACUGAUCGCAGUCGGCCUUGUGUCGGCGACGGAUCUUUCAAAUGUCUGCCCUAUCAACUUUCGAUGGUAGGUGAUCUGCCUACCAUGGUGAUAACGGGUAACGGGGAAUCAGGGUUCGAUUCCGGAGAGGGAGCCUGAGAAACGGCUACCACAUCCAAGGAAGGCAGCAGGCGCGAAAAUUACCCACUCCCGGCACGGGGAGGUAGUGACGAAAAAUACGAAUACGGGACUCACUCGAGGCUCCGUAAUUCGAAUGAGUACAAUCUAAAUCCUUUAACGAGGACCAAUUGGAGGGCAAGUCUGGUGCCAGCAGCCGCGGUAACUCCAGCUCCAAAAGCGUAUAUUAAAGUUGCUGCAGUUAAAAAGCUCGUAGUUGGAUCUGGGUCGCGCGUUCACGUGUCGUUACGUGGUUCUGACYUCGGUCAGUUCUAUGUGAUGAUGAGGUGGUCGUGCAGCCUUUCAGCCGUGUCUGCGUGAGCAGGUGUUGGCUGGUCGGUGGGCUUGCUCGCUGGCUAGUUGGCAUGUUUC
RNAcentral lists this ribosomal RNA (693 nucleotides) under Apatemon fuhrmanni. RNAcentral's name for it is "SSU rRNA". It matches the Rfam family "Eukaryotic small subunit ribosomal RNA", at positions 114 to 766 of the family's 1831-position model. Lineage: Eukaryota; Metazoa; Platyhelminthes; Trematoda; Diplostomida; Strigeidae. The record is from RNAcentral.